GACGAACGCUGGCGGCGUGCUUAACACAUGCAAGUCGAACGGAAAGGCCCUGCUUUUGUGGGGUGCUCGAGUGGCGAACGGGUGAGUAACACGUGAGUAACCUGCCCUUGACUUUGGGAUAACUUCAGGAAACUGGGGCUAAUACAGGAUAGGAGCUCCUGCUGCAUGGUGGGGGUUGGAAAGUUUCGGCGGUUGGGGAUGGACUCGCGGCUUAUCAGCUUGUUGGUGGGGUAGUGGCUUACCAAGGCUUUGACGGGUAGCCGGCCUGGGAGGGUGACCGGCCACAUUGGGACUGAGAUACGGCCCAGACUCCUACGGGAGGCAACAGUGGGGAAUGUUACACGAUGGGCGGAAGCCUGAUGCAGCAACGCCGCGUGCGGGAUGACGGCCUUCGGGUUGUAAACCGCUUUCGCCUGUGACGAAGCGUGAGUGACGGUAAUGGGUAAAGAAGCACCGGCUAACUACGUG
RNAcentral lists this ribosomal RNA (468 nucleotides) under uncultured bacterium. RNAcentral's name for it is "partial 16S ribosomal RNA". It matches the Rfam family "Bacterial small subunit ribosomal RNA", at positions 28 to 507 of the family's 1533-position model. The record is from RNAcentral.